Molecule: long non-coding RNA, 2138 nt
Organism: Papio anubis (olive baboon)
Lineage: Eukaryota; Metazoa; Chordata; Mammalia; Primates; Cercopithecidae
Source: Ensembl
CAAGCUCUUUGUUGUUAAUUGGCGCUUACCUCACCUGAAGGCCUUUGCCAAGAAGAGCAGAGGGGUUUAAUGGGGAAGGAAGAAAGGAAAAAGCCUGAAGUCCUGGAAAACACUCCAAGCCACAUGUGAUUUUAGCUGGGGGGGCUCUCCACUCCCCAGUAUGCUGGCGCAACAAAGUGGCCUAUGUGCUCUCUCAGCCCUCGGCUGUUUGUUUGGGGGGCAAUGCGCAGACUGGGGCCUGAGUGAUAACUGCUUCGUGUAAUUACGAAGACAGCUUGAAAACUAUGCUCCUCUUUGUUUCAGCCUCCAGAUGACGGCUGUCUGACUGCUGUUUGUGCCAGUUUUAUUUCAAAGCGCUUUUCUUUCCAUAUUUCAAAGGUCAGUGUGUUUACUGUGGCCAAAAAGAGCCUGUGUGUAAGAGAAAGAAUCCAUGUGGCUGAGUUGCUGGAGAACCAGAAGAGGAGUCAGGGAACUGGAUUCGAAUCCUAGCUCAGCUUCUAGGGAGCUGAUACUCUAUGGACCACUUCCUUACCCCCUGGCUUCUGGUUGGAUCCAGCCAGUGAAAGACUCUGGUGGGAACUGGAAAGACCAUACAAGAAGCAUGGUGCCAAUAUCUGCAUCUGGUGAAGACCUCAGGCUGCUUCCACUCAUGGUGGAAAGUGAAGGGGAGCUGGUGUGUGCAGAGAUCAUAUGGUAAGAGAUCAUAUGGUAAGUAAGGGAGAGCAGGGGAAGGUCCCAGGCUCUUUUGAGACAUCCGACUCUCUUGAAAACUGAUCGAGUGAUAACUCACUCAUCCCUGAAGGAGAGCAUUAAUCAGUUUGUGGGAGACCCACUCCCAUGACCUAAACACCUUCCAUUAGGCCCCACCUCCAACACUGGUGAUCAAAUUUUAACAUGAGGUUUAGAGAGGACAAAUAUCAAAACCAUAGCACAAGACGAAUUUCUUCCUCAUGUUCUUAUCAUGCUUGACCUAACUCUCUCCAUUCGUUCAGCUUUUCAUGAUUACAACUCUGAUUCUAUAUAUUAAUAUGCCCUAACUAUAGAAUGAGGUGAGAAAGUGGGCACAAACAGGCAAUGAAGGAAGAGUAACUUAAAAUACAACAUGCUGCUAAGAAGUGGGGGGGAAAAAAAAAAAGUCAACUACAUUUUGUGCCACAAUGGAAUAAUAAAAUAUAAAAAUCAACCAAAUGCAACUAUUUCAACUUAAGUGAAUUUCAAUCAACGUAGUUUGUGUGUAUAGUCAGGGCUUCAAUUUCUUAAACUAAAGAAAUGUCAAUAUGUAGGACUAGAUAUAAAAUAAGCCAAAUAUUAAACCAGGCGCAGUGGCUCACGCCUGUAAUCCCAGCACUUUGGGAGGCCAAGGCAAGCAGAUCACUUGGGUUCAGGAGUUCCAGACCAGCCUGGGCAACAUGGCAAGACCCUGUCUCUACCAAAAAAGAUAGAAAAUUAGAUAAAAAUGACUCUUCUUUUUCCUUUACUUCACAUAGAAAAAAAACUAAAAGCAUUUACAAAAUAUCUUAGACUCUCAUCAAGCUAGAUAUUUCUUGCUUAUACUGAGGAAAAAAAUCACACUCAGAAUAGUCUUAAUCAAGGAUCAUAGGUAGCUCUAGACUAGAAAUUUUGAACUGUAAAAAAGAUAUUAAAAUGUGACUUUUAAUUAGAUCAGAAAUGAACUCUAAUACUCUUCACAUCUUCAGAAAUGACACCUUUUAUUCCUCCAGUAAUUGAGGUGUCAAAGGGCAAUUUGAGGCUACUCAAAAAGAUUCAGAGUCUGGUUUUGUUAACCACUAAGCUAAUUACUGUUACAAAAUGAAAAUUACCAGACACCACCGAAUUGUUGACAGGUCAAAAAAACAUUCUUAAGAAAUCCUGGAGUUUAAACUGGUGAUAUUCAGGCUUUCAAUAUUUAUUUUGUAGCUUUAUUUUUUUUAUUUCUUUGAGGCAGGAUCUUGCUUUGUCACCUAGGCUGGAGUACAGUGACACAAUCAUAGCUCACUGCACCCUGCGCCCAUGAACUCCUGGGCUCAAGUGAUCCCCCUGCCUCAACCUUCUGAGUAGCUGGGGCUAUAGGUGCACACCACUACGCAGAGCUCAUUUUUGUAUUUUUUGCAGAGAUGGGGUCUUGCUAUGUUGCCCUG